This 500-nucleotide ribosomal RNA is filed under the name uncultured bacterium. RNAcentral describes it as "partial 16S ribosomal RNA". It matches the Rfam family "Bacterial small subunit ribosomal RNA", at positions 30 to 523 of the family's 1533-position model. The record is from RNAcentral.
AUUGAACGCUAGCGGGAUGCCUUACACAUGCAAGUCGAACGGCAGCGCGGACUUCGGUCUGGCGGCGAGUGGCGAACGGGUGAGUAAUGUAUCGGAACGUGCCCAGUAGCGGGGGAUAACUACUCGAAAGAGUAGCUAAUACCGCAUACGCCCUACGGGGGAAAGGGGGGGAUCGCAAGACCUCUCACUAUUGGAGCGGCCGAUAUCGGAUUAGCUAGUUGGUGAGGUAAAGGCUCACCAAGGCGACGAUCCGUAGCUGGUUUGAGAGGACGACCAGCCACACUGGGACUGAGACACGGCCCAGACUCCUACGGGAGGCAGCAGUGGGGAAUUUUGGACAAUGGGGGAAACCCUGAUCCAGCCAUUCCGCGUGUGCGAUGAAGGCCUUCGGGUUGUAAAGCACUUUUGGCAGGAAAGAAAUCGCAUCAAUUAAUACUUGGUGUAGAUGACGGUACCUGCAGAAUAAGCACCGGCUAACUACGUGCCAGCAGCCGCGGUAA